This 442-nucleotide ribosomal RNA is filed under the name uncultured eukaryote. Its description in RNAcentral is "bacterial SSU rRNA". It matches the Rfam family "Eukaryotic small subunit ribosomal RNA", at positions 592 to 1018 of the family's 1831-position model. The record is from RNAcentral.
CAAGAGCGUAUAUUAAAGUUGUUGCAGUUAAAAGCUCGUAGUUGGAUUUCUGGUACAAUGCGCCUGACCCGCGGCCGUAAGGCCUGUGAGUGUCGGUGCGCGUUUACCAUCCUUCUAGAAAACGUUUCUACCCUUUACUGGGCCGGACUCGCGAUCUAGAUCUUUUACUUUGAAAAAUUAGAGUGUUCAAAGCAGGCUUUCGCUGUGAAUACAUUAGCAUGGAAUAAUAAUCUAGGACUUCGGUUUUAUUUUGUUUGGUUUCUUAACACUGAAGUAAUAGAUUGAUAGGGAGUAGUUGGGGGUGGCUAGUAUUGGUCCGGCCACGAGGUGGAAAUUACUUGGAUUCGGUUCAAGACUAACUUAUUGCGAAAGCAUUCACCAAGGAUGUCUUCUUUAAUUCAAGAACGAAAGUUAGGGGGAGUCGAAGACGAUCAGAUACCAU